UACGUAGGCAGCGAGCGUUGUUCGGAAUUACUGGGCGUAAAGGGCGCGUAGGCGGCUUAUCAAGUCAGGCGUGAAAUUCCCGGGCUCAACCUGGGGGCUGCGUUUGAUACUGAUGAGCUUGAAUGCGGGAGAGGAUAGUGGAAUUCCCAGUGUAGAGGUGAAAUUCGUAGAUACCAGGAGGAACACCUGCGGCGAAGGCGGCCAUCUGGAUCGUAACUGACGCUGAUACGCGAAAGCGUGGGGAGCAAACAGG
Molecule: ribosomal RNA, 253 nt
Filed under: uncultured prokaryote
Description: partial 16S ribosomal RNA
Rfam family: Bacterial small subunit ribosomal RNA
Source: RNAcentral